CCGUAUUCAUAAAAAAUCCUUAAAUGAGGAAUGAUCAGCUUAUUAGCUAAUCCACUGUUUAGGCUUAAUAAGCCGUUGAUAAGAACCAUGAUUUAUAAACGUUUAUUAGGGGUUUCUUAACUAAUAAGCAGAUUAGACCCGUUAUGUUGGCAUCUUGGCACAUCAUAGACAAAAAUAUGGCUGAACAUUAAUUAAAAAAAAAAGUUUGACAGCAGCACUAGCGGUAAAUCAUAAAAUCCUGAACAAUACGAUGCACAAUUUUGACCAGUUUUCUGGGUUAUUAUAUAUUAAAAUAGCCUCUGCAUCACAAAAACAAAUAAAUAAUAUUGCACGGCCGGAAGUUUUACGAAACUCGUUUCAAUAUAUUGUGGAAUGAGGGAAAGAGGGCAGUUGCACAUCUCAAGUCAAGAAUUCUGCCUGCGCGCCAUCGCCACCGUAAUACCACGGAUUCCAACACAUUUUGUUCUGGUGGCGAAACACAAACGAUAUUGACACUAUUCAUAUCAAAUGAUCGGUGAAGAUAAAUCAGGUGAGCAAGAUUUGGUUAUUCAUUUCUUAACGUAAAAUGUUGUAGUAUUUUUAUGAACAUACCUCGACACCCAAAAAAUUAUGGCCUCUUCAUUUUUAAUUUGACGUACUAUCGGUGUUUUUUAGAAGAGCAGAGCUAACUAAGCUAGUUAGGAGCUGUUUAUAAUUAGAAUUAGUGAAUAACAUACUUAACCAACCACACGAUGGAACCAAUUUAUCAGUGAAGUGGUGAUUUAUCUUAAAAACCUUUUUUGUUCGCCUAGGGCGCAGAGUUAAAGAUAAGCGCUUAUAUAUGCAACUUGACAAUGACAAUGUUUGCAGUGAAACAUCUCAGCCAAUAGCCGCAUUAAAAGGCAAACUGCACAAUUCAUAAUGAGGCAGAAAUGUUCAUUAUUCACAGGAGUGUCGCUGUUGGUUGUGAGUAUUCCAUCAUCAGCUAUUUGUCCGGAGCUGGCUACACAAUCCGGAGGCCACACUCUUCUGGCAUCUAACCGGCCUGCACACCGCCAUCAAAUGAAGUUGGUUGUACUGAAAUAAAGAAAAAAUAUUAACUAGUUUAAUGAUUGUCAAAUGUAAUAAAAUUGUUUUAUUUAAGUGGGUUGUUUGAUUUCCCUAAAUUAACACAUGAAAUAUGUUGAUAUGUUAUAAUAAAAAUCUCAGUUAAAAACUCA
This is a long non-coding RNA of Cydia fagiglandana, 1199 nucleotides long. RefSeq lists it as uncharacterized. Lineage: Eukaryota; Metazoa; Arthropoda; Insecta; Lepidoptera; Tortricidae. The transcript is spliced from 3 exons. The record is from RefSeq and is a predicted model, not a curated record.